GGAGGUGUGGCUCAAGAGGUAGAGUGCCUGCCUAGCAAGCAUGAGGCCCUGGGUUCAAGUCCCAGGACCCCUC
RNAcentral lists this transfer RNA (73 nucleotides) under Dipodomys ordii (Ord's kangaroo rat). It matches the Rfam family "tRNA". From Rfam's summary of the family: Transfer RNA (tRNA) molecules are approximately 80 nucleotides in length. Their secondary structure includes four short double-helical elements and three loops (D, anti-codon, and T loops). Further hydrogen bonds mediate the characteristic L-shaped molecular structure. tRNAs have two regions of fundamental functional importance: the anti-codon, which is responsible for specific mRNA codon recognition, and the 3' end, to which the tRNAs corresponding amino acid is attached (by aminoacyl-tRNA synthetases). tRNAs cope with the degeneracy of the genetic code in two manners: having more than one tRNA (with a specific anti-codon) for a particular amino acid; and 'wobble' base-pairing, i.e. permitting non-standard base-pairing at the 3rd anti-codon position. Lineage: Eukaryota; Metazoa; Chordata; Mammalia; Rodentia; Heteromyidae. The record is from Rfam by way of RNAcentral.